AAAUUCAACCAAGCGCGGGUAAACGG
Molecule: non-coding RNA, 26 nt
Filed under: Arabidopsis thaliana (thale cress)
Lineage: Eukaryota; Viridiplantae; Streptophyta; Magnoliopsida; Brassicales; Brassicaceae
Also listed under: 2 other names
Source: RNAcentral